AUACUUAAUGAUAUUUUAAGCAAUAAUUAGCGACGUUUAAAGUGUCGGCAAAAAUAAUUCCGACGCUUGUAAAAACAUCGAGUAAAGAAUCGUUAAAUAAACAUAUCGGGAUAAAUAUACUGACACUUUAAUUAAUAUAGCGUCAAAAAAUUUUAAUCAAAUAUUUAAUAAAAAUAUAUUUAUUAGCGACACUUAAUUAUAGUGUCGACACAUGCCAAAUAUUGAAGACACUAGAAUAAAGCAUUGCAUAAAAAGCGUCGUCUAAAGCAUAUUUUAUUAUAGUGUAAGUUUCCUAAAAAGCGUUAAGUUUAUGUAUUAUUCCUGUUUAUUUUUAUUUACAUA
Molecule: long non-coding RNA, 342 nt
Filed under: Ananas comosus (pineapple)
Lineage: Eukaryota; Viridiplantae; Streptophyta; Magnoliopsida; Poales; Bromeliaceae
Description: long non-coding RNA (ACOM_LNC020626)
Source: RNAcentral